CCCAACUAUCCCUAUUAAUCAUUACGGUGGUCCUAAAACCAACAAAAUAGAACCAACGUCCUAUUCUAUUAUUCCAUGCUAAUCUAUUCAAGCAAAUGCCCGCUUUAAACACUCUAAUUUUUUCAAGGUAAUGGUCCUGGUUCCCCAACACACCCAAUAAAGGGCAUCCUGGCUCACCAGAAGGAUAGACCCGACGACAGAACAGUACUCGCCAAAGACGGACCAUCCGGCCAGGCCUAAAAUUCAACUACGAGCUUUUUAACUGCAACAACUUUAAUAUACGCUAUUGGAGCUGGAAUUACCGCGGCUGCUGGCACCAGACUUGCCCUCCAA
RNAcentral lists this unclassified non-coding RNA (333 nucleotides) under uncultured Archaeosporales. Its description in RNAcentral is "sequence contains 18S rRNA gene". The record is from RNAcentral. Lineage: Eukaryota; Fungi; Glomeromycota; Glomeromycetes; Archaeosporales.